AAAUUGAAGAGUUUGAUCAUGGCUCAGAUUGAACGCUGGCGGCAGGCCUAACACAUGCAAGUCGAACGGUAACAGGAAGCAGCUUGCUGCUUUGCUGACGAGUGGCGGACGGGUGAGUAAUGUCUGGGAAACUGCCUGAUGGAGGGGGAUAACUACUGGAAACGGUAGCUAAUACCGCAUAACGUCGCAAGACCAAAGAGGGGGACCUUCGGGCCUCUUGCCAUCGGAUGUGCCCAGAUGGGAUUAGCUAGUAGGUGGGGU
Molecule: ribosomal RNA, 261 nt
Filed under: Escherichia coli
Lineage: Bacteria; Pseudomonadati; Pseudomonadota; Gammaproteobacteria; Enterobacterales; Enterobacteriaceae
Description: partial 16S ribosomal RNA
Rfam family: Bacterial small subunit ribosomal RNA
Source: RNAcentral